RNAcentral lists this ribosomal RNA (476 nucleotides) under uncultured cyanobacterium. RNAcentral's name for it is "bacterial SSU rRNA". It matches the Rfam family "Bacterial small subunit ribosomal RNA", at positions 384 to 873 of the family's 1533-position model. The record is from RNAcentral. Lineage: Bacteria; Bacillati; Cyanobacteriota.
UGACGGAGCAAGACCGCGUGGGGGAGGAAGGUUUUUGGAUCGUAAACCCCUUUUGUCAAGGAAGAAGCUCUGACGGUACUUGACGAAUAAGCCUCGGCUAACUCCGUGCCAGCAGCCGCGGUAAUACGGAGGAGGCAAGCGUUAUCCGGAAUGAUUGGGCGUAAAGCGUCUGUAGGUGGCCAGCUAAGUCUGCUGUUAAAGAUCACAGCUCAACUGUGGGAAGGCAGUGGAAACUGGCAAGCUAGAGGUUGGUAGGGGUAAAGGGAAUUCCCGGUGUAGCGGUGAAAUGCGUAGAUAUCGGGAAGAACACCGGUGGCGAAAGCGCUUUACUGGGCCAGACCUGACACUGAAGGACGAAAGCUAGGGGAGCGAAAGGGAUUAGAUACCCCUGUAGUCCUAGCUGUAAACGAUGGAGACUAGGUGUAGCACGUAUCGACCCGUGCUGUAUCGUAGCCAACGCGUUAAGUCUCCCGCCG